RNAcentral lists this long non-coding RNA (692 nucleotides) under Rhinopithecus bieti (black snub-nosed monkey). RNAcentral describes it as "lncRNA (ENSRBIG00000046773.1)". The record is from RNAcentral. Lineage: Eukaryota; Metazoa; Chordata; Mammalia; Primates; Cercopithecidae.
ACUUUUAUUUCUAUGAUGAAACUUAUUCUAAUUUCCAGCCCAAGAUUCUGGAACACAUCUCCCAUUAUGAAGUAAGCCUCAGGGUGGGAGUGGAAACAGAAUCUCUUGUUCACACUCCACACCCUCGUUUUCCAGCAGUGAAGGUAGACUAUUAAGGCUCUCAUGUCAUCAAGGAUCAAGGCAAUGGGAUAAUGGAGAUUCUAGACAUUUGUUUCCUCACCAGCGAAAAUUAAAUGAAGACUCAGAAAUCACUACAGCUACAGGGAUGAGAAGGACAUUUCAGCAGCUAGAGUGUGGUGUGGCCAGGAACAAAACAGGGAGUGUCUCCAAGGUAUACCUGUGUUUUGGAUAGAAACACCUAAUCAAGGAAAAUGUGGCUCACUGAGCUCAAAAAGAAGGCUCUGUGCAUGAAAUCAUGAAAACUACAUGGGGCGAUAACUUUAAUCAAAUCCCAAAGCUUAGAAUAUCCUGAAGAUGACCCAUCUCCACGUAUUUCCAAAAUUGGGAGAGCUUUUUUUAUGGAGUGAUUUAUUCCUAUAGCUAUUCAUAGAAAGGAGUCUGCUCCUUAAGGUACGUGACAACCUGCAUUCAUGCUUGAGAUCACUGGGACUCAGAUGUUCAUAAAGAUCUCUGAAACUUCUGAAUUCUUUUUCUCAUUUGUUGCCAUGUGAAUCAGUCAUCCACUCCGGAAG